AGCCUGAACGCUGGCGGCGUGGCUAAGACAUGCAAGUCGUACGGAUGUAGCAAUACAUCAGUGGCGAACGGGUGAGUAAAGAAUCGCUAAUGUGCCCCGGACUCUGGGAUAGCCGGUCGAAAGGCCGGGUAAUACCAGAUGACAUAUUCCUUCUGCAUGGAGGGAAUCUCAAAGGUCCGCCGGUCUGGGAGCAGGCGAUUUCGUAUCAGCUAGUUGGUGAGGUAACGGCUCACCAAGGCGACGACGCGUAGCCGGACUGAGAGGUUGGCCGGCCACAUUGGGACUGAGACGCUGCCCAGACUCCUACGGGGGGCUGCAGUAACGAAUCUUCCGCAAUGCACGAAAGUGUGACGGAGCGACGCCGCGUGGAGGACGAAGCCCUUCGGGGUGUAAACUCCUGUCGAGGGGGAAGAAGUUCUGAUCUACCCCAGAGGAAGAGGCGGCUAACUCUGUGCCAGCAGCCGC
RNAcentral lists this ribosomal RNA (465 nucleotides) under uncultured bacterium. RNAcentral describes it as "SSU rRNA". It matches the Rfam family "Bacterial small subunit ribosomal RNA", at positions 26 to 518 of the family's 1533-position model. The record is from RNAcentral.